UACGUAGGGUGCAGGCGUUAAUCGGAAUUACUGGGCGUAAAGCGUGCGCAGGCGGUUUCUUAAGUCAGAUGUGAAAGCCCCGGGCUUAACCUGGGAACUGCGUUUGAAACUGGGAGACUUGAGUGUGGCAGAGGGGGGUGGAAUUCCACGUGUAGCAGUGAAAUGCGUAGAUAUGUGGAGGAACACCGAUGGCGAAGGCAGCCCCCUGGGAUAACACUGACGCUCAUGCACGAAAGCGUGGGGAGCAAACAGG
This 253-nucleotide ribosomal RNA is filed under the name uncultured bacterium. Its description in RNAcentral is "partial 16S ribosomal RNA". It matches the Rfam family "Bacterial small subunit ribosomal RNA", at positions 524 to 776 of the family's 1533-position model. The record is from RNAcentral.